Molecule: transfer RNA, 91 nt
Filed under: Hypoxylon sp. FL0890
Lineage: Eukaryota; Fungi; Ascomycota; Sordariomycetes; Xylariales; Hypoxylaceae
Description: tRNA-Glu
Rfam family: tRNA
About the family: Transfer RNA (tRNA) molecules are approximately 80 nucleotides in length. Their secondary structure includes four short double-helical elements and three loops (D, anti-codon, and T loops). Further hydrogen bonds mediate the characteristic L-shaped molecular structure. tRNAs have two regions of fundamental functional importance: the anti-codon, which is responsible for specific mRNA codon recognition, and the 3' end, to which the tRNAs corresponding amino acid is attached (by aminoacyl-tRNA synthetases). tRNAs cope with the degeneracy of the genetic code in two manners: having more than one tRNA (with a specific anti-codon) for a particular amino acid; and 'wobble' base-pairing, i.e. permitting non-standard base-pairing at the 3rd anti-codon position.
Source: RNAcentral
UCCGAAUUGGUGUAGUGGCUAACAUUUGACGCUCUCAACAAGAAAUUGUGUGUGAACCGUCAAGCCCGGGGUUCGAUUCCCCGAUUCGGAG